RNAcentral lists this non-coding RNA (29 nucleotides) under Mus musculus (house mouse). The record is from RNAcentral. Lineage: Eukaryota; Metazoa; Chordata; Mammalia; Rodentia; Muridae.
UCNCAAGACCUCUUGUCAGGCAGGGAAGG